RNAcentral lists this ribosomal RNA (253 nucleotides) under uncultured bacterium. RNAcentral describes it as "partial 16S ribosomal RNA". It matches the Rfam family "Bacterial small subunit ribosomal RNA", at positions 524 to 776 of the family's 1533-position model. The record is from RNAcentral.
UACAGAGGGGGCAAGCGUUAUUCGGAAUUAUUGGGCGUAAAGGGCGCGUAGGCGGCUUUGCAAGUGACGGGUGAAAGCCCUCGGCUUAACCGAGGAACUGCCUGUCAGACUGUAAGGCUUGAGACCGGGAGAGGUGAGUGGAGUUCCCAGUGUAGCGGUGAAAUGCGUAGAUAUUGGGAGGAACACCAGUGGCGAAGGCGGCUCACUGGACCGGAACUGACGCUGAGGCGCGAAAGCGUGGGGAGCAAACAGG